This is an RNA transcript of Cydia fagiglandana, 7141 nucleotides long. It is a transcript of the gene named basic proline-rich protein-like, with no coding region annotated. The transcript is spliced from 4 exons. The record is from RefSeq and is a predicted model, not a curated record. Lineage: Eukaryota; Metazoa; Arthropoda; Insecta; Lepidoptera; Tortricidae.
CCCGUAGCGACCAUGGCGGGGAACAGGCUGGCCAAGUGCGACCUGGAGCGGGGACGGACCCCUGUCCCCGGACCCUAACGAUCUGACCCCAGCGCUCCGCCGCCGCCGUCAGAACGCGAGUGAGAAGUAUGCGGCGGACCCCGCGCGGGAUUUGAACCUGCGCUUCGCCCGCCCCAGGCACCGGCAGCCACCCACCGUGCACUCUAGGAGCGGGUCCCGCGGCGUGGCGCUGCUGUCGUCCCCGCCGGGCUCGGGCGCGUCCUCCCCCUCCGCGUCGCCGCCGCCGGCGCCCGCCCCCCCUGCUCCCCCCGCACCCCCCGCACCGGCCCCCCCCGCCGCCCCCGCCGACCCCGCGCCGCUCGCCGCGCACAACGCCGCCCGGGCCAGGAGGUUCCGCCCCCUCUCCAUCGCGCCAUAGGACACCACAAACAGCUGUGACACAGCGGGGGACUUCUAAACAUAAACACUAACAUAUGUACACACAGUAUAUCGUUAUACUCGUUAUGUACAUGUAUGUACAUGUAGCAAUACUAUUCGCUUACCACCUUUCCAUACAAACUUGUAUGCAACGGUUUCACUUUUCUCUACAGCUGACUGUACACAUUGAAUUUGUACAUGAGAUUCGACAAGUCAACGCCGUCCUGAACAGUCAAGGACAUGUACGCAGACUAAGUACUCAUAAAUAUCUAUACACUUAUCGAACACAUAUGUAAGAAUUCAUAGGCUACGGUAUAUGAUUACUACCAGGCCUAUAUUGCUUGCCACGGGUGGUUUUUCGGGUUAGCGCGCAAUUUCAGGCGUUUAUAAGCUACGGUGUCCACUUCCAAGUGCUUUUUGGUGAAGUGUAGAUAUUUAUGAGCCUGACUGUACUCGAGGGAGACACAAGCUGUGAUACCUGUAUAUGAUGUUGAUACCAAGGUAUAGCCAAAGAUGUAUUUGAUUGAGUAAGAUGCGUAAAAUCUAAGACAAUUUCGUGCUUCUUGAAAGGUAAACGAGAUGGCGCUGUACAGCUCCAUACAUUUUGCGCUAACUCUUGACUGUCAAAAGUUGACGUUUGACAAUUCAGUGACCGCAAAACAGAUGGCGCAGUACCACAGAAUAAUUAAUAGUACUACCGUACAGAAAGGAAACUUCCUACAAAAACGAAGUUUGACAGCGGUUCAGGGUCGAAUCAUGCUGUCGCUUUCUAAUAUAUGGCACUAUCCCUUUCGGCUAUUUAGGGUUGUCAAAAAUCAAGUGAUUAUCUUAUCUGUGGUCGUGCACGCAAAAGGAAGUCAAGUAGUGCCAACCCUAAUAAUAGCUCGGAGCAAUGCUGAGCCGAGCGGAGCCGAGUUUGACCGAAGUCAGGAGUUUCGCACCCCUGGCAGUACAUCGCCAGAUGUUUUGGAUGUCGAAAUAAGGGGCACGUUUUUUUUCUUAGACUUUACCUCUUUAUUACAAUCAGUUCUCUUUGGUAUAGCGAACGGAGAAUUAUAUGACUAGUUUUAUUUCAGUGGGACUUUUGAGAUUUAAGCAACUUGAGUGUUUUUUUAAUUUCAUUGUUCGGGUGCGCAAUUAAUAACCUCCUGAGAAUCAAUGUACAGUCGCCAUCAGAUAUAUCGGAGCGGCCAAGGUGUUCACAAUAUCUGAACACGCACUCUAACGCCCUGACAAUAGAGGCUUGUUCAGAUAUUUGUGAGCACCUUGGCCGCUCCGAUACAUUACAAUGUACAUAAUCGUGCAAUCUAAUUUGAACUUUUCAUGACCCAAAUAAAGUAGCAUUUCUUUUGUUUCAUCGCUUUUUAAACUAAGGAAAUUCGUUCUAAUUUACUAUAGAAUAAGGUUCAAAUUAAAAAUUUGAUAACUUUAGAUGGUGGGUCUUUCGAGGUUAAGGUUGAUCUCUUUGGUUUGAGUUACGACCACAGAUAAUACAGGGUGUUACUGACCAUGGGGCUUUAAUUCCAGGGCUCGAUUCUACUCGCUAUUCUGAACUACUUUUAUUAUGGCACCAACCCCGAAAUCCUAAAUUUUUUUUUUACUAUUUCAUACAUUUUGGGUGAUCAGAUGUCGACGUUUUCUAUGGGAAAGCCAAUUUUUUUCCCCGAUUUUAGGGUUGGUCCCAUAGUAAAAGUAGCUCAGUUUAGCGAGUAAAAUCAAGCCCUGGAUUUAAAGCCCCAUGGUCAGACACAUACUGUAUAAUAGCUUUCCCCAAAAUUCACUCAUUUUAGUUUACAAUAUAAUUAUAUUAUGAAGACCACUGAAUGACAAAUUAGUUAUAUAAUUCUUGAAUGGCCACUGUUAUAGAGUUACUGUACCGAAAACGGUACUGAAAUGUUAAAAUUAUAAAAUUGUGAUCUACUCGAACCUCAACUUAGAAUAAACCUUAUGUUAUUAAUGUUAUUUAAUAGCUUUAUAAGGGAAUUAAGCCGAUUUCCAUCGCUUAUGCUAUAUUUAAUAGUAUUUUACUUUAACCUUUUCGACGCCAACGACGGAUAUAUCCGAACCCGCAGGUCCAACGCCAACGACGGAUGAAUCCGUCACAGGUUUUAAAUUUGCCAGCCAAAUAAGUGAAGUAUAAAUAUAGAAUUCAAUUUUGAUUCUCUGUUCGGAUAUGCUUCCAAACCGCAAUAAGUGCUUUAAUAUGAUUAUAUUUACUUUAAAAAUAGGUAACAAUAAAAAAAAAUACAAUGAAAAAAAAACUUGUAUAAGUAUAGCAUAUGCGCUUGGUAAAAUAAGGCUACAAAAAUACUAUUUUCUAGAAGUGGUACUGCAGCGUAUUAGAAACAUAUCAUAAUUAUCAGUCUAAUUUGAUUACUUUCAACAUUUUUUUUGGUAUUAAUAAAAACUUUCUUCAACGCCUGGAAAAUUAAAAAAAAAUGUUUUUUCAUCGACGCAAAUGCUUCCUCCUGAGACCCAGAAGCAACUAUGUUGUUUUUGAAACUGGAACCCUUAGAGUUACACAAUAAAGUUCAAAAUAGAUUUUGGAAUAUGUACAAGAAAUUGUACGCAGGGAGGUUAAAGACGAAAAUGUUAUAUUAGUAAUAAUAGUUAGAAGCGCUCUCACCACUUCUAGUAAUACCUAGUAUAUGAAAUACGGUAACUCAGUUAUGGGUCAUUCUCAUUAAAUAUGUCUGCAGCCUAAUUGCCGUGACCAUACAAAAUGUAUGAAAAGUCGUGGCAAUUAGGCCGCAGAUAUUAUCAGAGAAUUAGCCUUAUAGGGUAAUGCUAUAUGACUCGCUUUCCCAAGCUAAAUGUUACAUUGCAAUGUAAGAUUACAUUUCUUAUAGUCUGUAUCUUUAGGUAUUUAAAUAAAAGUAAACAAAAUCUACCCUCAAAUGACUCCUUAAGCCAGAGAUGAAAACAUUACACGAUCAAAUAAUGUAGGUUAAAGUCACGUUGUUCAGUGACGGAUCCAGGCGGUUUUGUAUUUGGUCGGUUAACCAAUAAAUGUUAACUACCCGAAAAUGUACAAAUUAUUUGUUUAUUUUUAUUUAAAUCCCUAAAGAUACAGAGUGUAGUUAUGGUCAUUGGCCAUGAUUUAAAAAAAGAACAUUUUGACAACUGAAUGUUCUAAUCAUUUUAAACGGUAAGGUAUUGCCAACUUUUUAAUAUUUUUAUUGUAGCCCGGUGCAUAAAGCCUGCCGUCAUGGCGCGUAAAAUUGUAAGGUGCUGUCAGUACUGUAAGAAUCAAGGCAGUGAAAUGUGACGUUCCACGGCUAAAGGUACCUUAUGGCGGUCGACACUUACGAUAUUAAUAACGACACAUAAUACUAAUGCGAUGCUACGUGACGUAAGCGCCUCCAUAAGGUACCUUUUCCCGUGGGCGUCACAAAUAGUUAUGCUAGCGAUCAUUUAUGUAACAGACAGGCAAAAUAGUAAUGAAACUGUUUUCUAGUGAUUUGAAAACCAUGAGCCGAAGUAUGAAAUUGAGGCGCUUAUUUUGGUGCACACAUAACCUCAAUUGCGUCGUUUUAGUAUAGUUUGUAGGUUUCUAAUAGAGUCCGACGGCUAAUCCUAUUGUCUAUUGUUAAGUAAAACUGCACCUGCCACAACCACCUCCAUAAAAAAUACGUACUUCGGUACUUAUACUGAGUGCCGGCGAGUCGAACGCUACGGAUCCAGUCUUAUUUUAUAAUGUGUCAUCGAGAUGCGUAACAAAGGCGCGUUAUCGGAGAGCGCACCUACACUAGUUGUUUGAGCGUUGGACUAGCCCGCGCUCAGGUGCCAAAUAGAAUAAUUAAAACCCUUUUUUUCAGGUAAGUAGCACGUGCGGUUUUACUUAACAAUAGACAAUAGGAUUAGCCGUCGGGCUCUAUUAGAAACCUACAAACUAUAAUAAAUAUUACAAGUAAAAUAUUAGUAAUUAAUAUAAUACAUAAUUAUAAUAUUAGUAACUAAAGUGACACAGUUGAGCUUAUGGUUAUUACAUUACAUUAUUUAUAAUUAUUAUUGGUAUGUACUUGUAUAUACAAAUACAUUUCUUAUAUACUUCUUAUUACAAUGAAAAUACGAGGCAACUUUUUGCAACGAAUCUUACAGAUUGCAAAUUUUAACCUUUUGCCAAUCCACGAGAGUCGAUAUUGCUUUGGCGCCGCUGACGGCAUAUACCGUCGACUUUUUUAUAAAUAUAGUAGAAGUAUAUAUUUUAUAUGCAAGUACAUUUUCUCAUCUCAAAAUGUAUAUAGUGUUUAAAUUUAAUUUAAUUGGCUUAUAAAUGUUAAGACUUAUCGCUCAUUAUUUAUUUGACAGGUGCUAGUUUUGUAUAGCCUAACUUUUAGUCGAGAGUUUUGACAGAAAAUGUCAAAUCGACCAUUUCCCUUCAGCUGUUGACUCGGUGUCCAUACUAACCCCUAGUCUUGUCUCUUUCGCGUACGUUAAUAAUUAUGUGGUUAAAAAGAGAUGCAUAUUUUGAAAUAAAGAAAUAUUUGUAUGCUAAAUUUAAUUUUAGGUGCUAUUGAUUUAAAAAUCAUGACAGUCGAAAUGACAAUUCUUUUUACGAAAAAAAUUGUACAGAGAGGUUUGCUUUAAUAUUAAAAAAAAGGAGAUUAUUUAUUUGAUUAUUUUGCGGCUUUGGUUAUUAUUUAUUUUUAAUUACAAGGUGUAAUGUUCAAAAUAAAUUGUUAUUAUCAAAUUGUUACUUAAUAUCUAUCGUGGCUUAAGAGUGAAUAUAUAAUUAGGGAAUUAUCGAAAAAAAAAAACACUUGAGUAAUAUUAAGCGUUGCUUUUGAAUGAACUGAUUGAAGUGGCUCGAGAUUCGAGAAAGUCGAAAAUUGUAACUUUCCUUAAUAGAAAGUUGGAUUUUGGUCGAAAAUGCAGGGAAUGUACUGUGUAUCCUUUUUGAAGGAAUGUAUAAAAAAAAGAUAUUUUUCAAACGUGGAAUUUUGAAAGGAUUUCGCUACUGUGGUUUUUAAAUGUAUCUCAAGGUAUCGAUGUUGCACUUUUAUUCUUUUAAAGUUAAACAGAUAAUAUUAAAGUAUUUAUUUCAAAUGAAAGCAUUUAACUUAAUAUUCGAUGCAUUUCUAAUACUAUUCUUUUCACAUCAUUCUCAUUUCGAAAUGAUAAUUCGAAUGAAAUGAAAAUGAUAACUUCCUAUUGCUUUUAAUUUGUCUUUGAAAUGUUUUUAAAUACUUUAAUAUUAUUGAUUCUAUACAUAUGUAUAAAAUGGAUAAAUAGUAAUAAUACGUAGAUGCCAUUACAUUCUAGUCUCGCUGCGUAGUCUUAGAAUGAGAAUAUAUAUGUAAUAAUUAAUUAAUACAUAAAAUAUUUAGCAAUUAAUUAUGAUAUUAAAACGAGAGAAAAGGUUGACGCACCUGGGGGGCUACCGCGAAAACCGAAGUUCGCAAAUUGACCGCUCUCUUUUACUCCAACGAAGGCGUAAUUAGAUUGACAAAGAUGCCCGCAAUUUGCGAACUUCGAUUUUCGCGGUUGUAGCUCUGGAUUGUUUUACAGUGGCAACACAGAGUAAUGUUGCCAGUGUGGAAUGGUCCGAAAUAUGUUGCUGAUUUAAAUUCGCUUUUGAAAGCGCGUUCGGUGUCUAUUUUUAUAUUGAACUCAUCUGUAUGGGGAAAAAAGUAAUGUAUUUCAACUUUUUCUUUGUAUGGGUAAUUUACUUGUAAAAUAAAAUGUGUGAAACCACCAAACCCUUUGACUGCCACAGUUGGCCAUAGCCGACAAAGGUUAAAAUUAACCAAAUAAAAUAGUCUUGGCGGUCAAAAUGUAAAAAUCUGCAAGUAUGGUCAAGUAAGAUGGUAGUACUGGUGCUCGACGCGGUCCCAGUACAUGUCAUCUUGAAACUUAAGUCAUUGUCAAUAGAGGUGACAGCAAGGUGUCAUCUAUUGGGCAUUAGCGUGUCGAGCACUAGUACCUUAUUGCUUAUCAAUUUGUAAUUGAUGUAAUAACUAAUAAGUUAUUGGUUUAAUAGGAACACAGGAAAAAAGAUAUGUAUUUUAAAUUGAAUCCAGCUACAGAUGAGUUCAUUGUGCUAUACCUCAUUUAAUAUAUUAAAUUAGUGAAUUAAUAUACCCUCAAUAAUAUCACGACAAAUUAUUUACUAAAAGGGUCUAUAAAAAAGGGUUAAAAGGUAAAUAUAUAAAUUCUGUUCCAAAAAUUUGGACUUAAAUAAGUAUAAUUAAUUAAUUAUAUCAAUUAAGUACUUACCAAAAUAUUACAUGUAAAUGUCUAGAAUACCCAUAUCUAUAGCAUGCGGGAGAAGCACAGUUCCAUUUUCGCAAAGCACUUACAUACUUGUUAGAACGUGACAGGCAUGGUGACAAACGAUAAAAAUACGACCAUGCUACCGCCGCAGAAAAAGAAAAGAUAAUUUCGUGUUAAUAUUUAAGUGACCCAAAAGGGUAUAUUUUCAAUAUAAAAGCAUUUGUUAUUUGCUAACUUGAUAUAUUAAAUAGGGCAUGGCAACACCGAUGCAUUACAAUUCUAGUCUAUGGCCGCUUCCGUCUCUUAAAUUUUAUCAUUAAAAAAUGAGACAUUAUUUUUGUCAAAUGUAUAAAAAAUGUUAAUAAGUAUAGGGCUCUUUUUUAAAGUAUUGUCUGAGGGCGGUUUUUUUAUUGACGCACGCUCGGUUAACGUUUUAUUUUGCCAUAUUUUUUUACAUUUACCGAAAUAUGCACAAUAAAAUUUUAAUAAAAGGUAAUUUGUCCUUUCA